This 1530-nucleotide ribosomal RNA is filed under the name Triticum aestivum (bread wheat). RNAcentral describes it as "partial small subunit ribosomal RNA". Lineage: Eukaryota; Viridiplantae; Streptophyta; Magnoliopsida; Poales; Poaceae. The record is from RNAcentral.
AUGAUGGGUGGCAAACAUCCGCAAACCAUACUAACAGACCAAUGCAGGGCUAUGGAAUUAGCAAUUGAGAAGGUGAUGCCAAACACAACGCAUCGCUGGUGCAAGUGGCAUAUCUUGAAAAAGGCAAAAGAAUCUAUUGGAGCCCAUUACACGAAGAGGAGCAAGUUCCGAAUGGACUUCCACAAGAUAAUACACCACAUGCUGACAGUUGAUGAAUUUGAGACAGCAUGGAAUCAACUGACAGAAACACACGGUUUGCAAAGGCACCCUUACUUGACUCAGAUAUAUGAGACGAGAGAAAAGUGGGCAAAGCCAUAUUUCAAUGGUAAAUUAUGUGCAAAGAUGUCAAGCACACAACGCAGUGAGAGUGCAAACCAUAUGCUCAAAACUUAUGUUCCAGCAAGCUGCCCCAUGCACAUUUUCGUUAGGCAAUAUAUGCGACUUCUUUUUGAUAGGGAAGCAGCUGAGAACUACGAGGAAAGGCGCACUAUGAUAAAUACACCAGUUAUGAGGGUGAACACACCACUCGAGCAGCAUGCCAGCAAUGUGUACACACGAGCCAUGUUUGAGAAAUUUGGUGAAGUACUAUAUGAAUCAGGGCAAUAUAAAAUAGAAGAGGUGAGCCGGUGGAAAACAUAUAUAGCGCGACGACACCACCCAGAGAAGCAUGAAAAAUGGUGUAGAGUUUUCUACAAAGUUGAAGUUGUCGAUGACGGCGCACUGAUAGUGUGCGAAUGUGGUAAUUUCGAAUACACGGGAUUGCUUUGUUGCCAUGCAUUAAAGGUCCUUGAUGUCCUUGGUGUGGAUCAUAUACCAGCUAAUCACAUUUUGAAACGCUGGACGAAGGACGCACGGGACUUGCUGCCAGAUCAUCUGGCGCACCUUCAGAAAGAUAAGAUUAAUGUCAAUUCUAUAACAUUCAGGCACUUGAAUUUGUACACACAUGCCCUCGAAGUUGUCCGUCUUGGUGAUGCCAACACAUCUACAUAUGAUUGUGCAAUGGAAAUACUGAAAAAAUCAAUGGAUACACUGACGCCCAUGGCCAGCGUCCGUGAUGGCAUGGGGCUUGAAGACAAAAUUCAGUCAGAUAAAGGGAAAGGCAAGGAGAUGAUUCCAGUGCAUUCAGCAGAAAUCCAUGAAGAUAGCGAUGCUGAAGGGAGUGCAGUUGGCAAUUUUGUUGGUUUGAAGCCUCCAGAACGAAAGCGUAAACCAGGAAGACCUACUACCAGCCGGGAUAAGCCUCCCUAUGAUGAUCGAGGUGCAAAGAGCAAAAAAUUCAAGGGCACAGUGAACAGCCAAGCUCCAGAUGGCGGGGGUACAAGCAAGCGUACUCGUUUCUGCAGUAUAUGUCGUGAACCUGGUCACAAGAGUACUACAUGCCCGCAAAGAGGUGAUCUCCCUCGCAAGGAAAGGAAGGAGGCCAAAUGUUCAAACUGUGGUGUCGGUGGCCACAAGAAGAACACCUGCAACAAGCCUAAAGCGGUGUUGCAUGUCGUUGAACAUGCAACCAUGGAGCAGAUUACCAUCUAG